Molecule: ribosomal RNA, 463 nt
Filed under: uncultured bacterium
Lineage: Bacteria
Description: partial 16S ribosomal RNA
Rfam family: Bacterial small subunit ribosomal RNA
Source: RNAcentral
GAUGAACGCUGACAGAAUGCUUAACACAUGCAAGUCUUUGGCGAAGCUGUGCUUGCACAGCCUAGCCAAGGCGGACGGGUGAGUAACGCGUAAGGAACUUGCCCUGCAGUCAGGGAUAACAGACGGAAACGACUGAUAAGACCUGGUAAAGUCAGGCGGACUCAUGUCCAGCCUGAUGAAAAGAGAUGCUGCAGGAGAGCCUUGCGUCCGAUUAGCUUGUUGGUGGGGUAACGGCCCACCAAGGCGAUGAUAGGUAGCCGGCCUGAGAGGGUGGACGGCCACAAGGGGACUGAGAUACGGCCCUUACUCCUACGGGAGGCAGCAGUGGGUAAUAUUGGACAAUGGGGGCAACCCUGAUCCAGCAAUUCUGUGUGCACGAUGAAGGUUUUCGGAUUGUAAAGUGCUUUCAGCAGGGAAGAAAAAAAUGACGGUACCUGCAGAAGAAGCGACGGCUAAAUACGUG